UCUGAGAGAGAAGUACCCGGCUGCCUGGGAGCUGAGAAGGGUACCUGAGGUGGAGCAUGCUGGGGAAGGGCAGAGGGAGCUGAGGAGCUCCAGCCUAGUAAAACCCCAGACUGCAGGCCUUGAAAAGGGCCUAUGAAAAGAUGGCUUUACUUCUGAAUUGCCAAAUUGAAAGAAACCAAAAAAUGCUCUUAAGAUGUCACAACAAACAUAUAGACCUUCAGGACUCAAGCUACACCGCCUUCAAAUCCCUCCUCAAGACCCACUGCUGAUGUGAUGCCUACAAGAAAUCAGCCAAUGAUUGACAGUUAGGUCAGAGGCAAAAACAGCGACAGGCCAUCAGGUUGUCAUGUCACCUAGCCUACAUAACUGCAAUCAGAUUAGCAUUGCCUUCAUCCUCUACUUAACUUCCCUCUUAUUGUUUGUUAUACUUAUUCACGGCAACUUGUUUUAGAUUGGAGUGUAAUCUCUUAGGGGCAAGGGUUAUGUCUUCCUACCUGUUUAUCCAGUACCUAGCACAAUCCCUGAUACUGAUGGUGUAUUUGGCACUACUGAAAUGCAAAUAAAAAAUAAACCACUGGUGCUUGGAAACAGACUCAUGGAAUACAGUCUUGCUCUGUGAUACACCCAACCUAGACACCACUGUGAUAUCGCACAAGAAACUUAAAUAUAGGUAGACUAUACAUCAGCACACCUUUUGUAA
Molecule: long non-coding RNA, 700 nt
Organism: Mauremys reevesii (Reeves's turtle)
Lineage: Eukaryota; Metazoa; Chordata; Testudines; Geoemydidae
Exons: 2
Source: RefSeq, a predicted model, not a curated record